RNAcentral lists this ribosomal RNA (535 nucleotides) under Acalles sp. 2 JJA-2010. RNAcentral describes it as "partial 16S ribosomal RNA". It matches the Rfam family "Bacterial large subunit ribosomal RNA", at positions 1860 to 2625 of the family's 2925-position model. The record is from RNAcentral. Lineage: Eukaryota; Metazoa; Arthropoda; Insecta; Coleoptera; Curculionidae.
GGCUUUUUGAGUAUAAUUUAAGGUCGGGCCUGCCCAAUGAUUAAUUAAAUGGCCGCGGUAUAUUGACCGUGCAAAGGUAGCAUAAUCAUUAGUUUUUUAAUUGAAAGCUUGUAUGAAGGGUUUAAUGAAAAAAAUACUGUCUCUAUUUAAAUUUAUUAGAAUUUUAUGUUUAAGUUAAAAAGCUUAAAUUUAUAUUGAAGACGAGAAGACCCUAUAGAGUUUAAUAUUUUAUGUAAUUAUUGAUUAUUAAGAAUUUUAAAGGUUUAUUAUUUAAAGUAUUUAGUUGGGGUGAUUAAAAAAUUAGUUUAACUUUUUUUGUAUUUUUACAUUGAUUAAUGAAUUAAUGAUCAUUUAUUUAAGAUUAAAAGAUAUAAUUACCUUAGGGAUAACAGCGUAAUUUUUUUUAGAGUUCUUAUCGAAAGAAAAGAUUGCGACCUCGAUGUUGGAUUAAAAUAAAUUAUUGGUGUAGAAGCUAAUAGAUUAGGUCUGUUCGACCUUUAAAUUUUUACAUGAUCUGAGUUUAAACCGGUGUAAG